AAAUUUUUUUAAAAUAUACGUUUUAAAUUUUUUCCAAUUAUAUAAAUAACCAAAAUUUUUGCGCAAAUUAUUAAAUAAAUAUUAAUUUUCGCGGUUGCGAUUCCGAUUAUACCGUCGCGGAAAUUUUAUUAAAUUUGCGGAAAAUUAAUUACGAAAUAAACGCGAUCGUUUACAAAAAAUUUAUAAUAUAUUUUGGUAUUUUUAUUUUGGCAAAUAAUAAUAAAAAUAAUAAUUAUAAACCGAAAAUUGGAAAAAUUAAUUGGUUAAUAAAAAAUCGCGGUUAAAAAAAAAUUUGUUCCGUUUAUAUUAUUUCGCAUUUGCGGUAUUUAUAACGGUAAUUCCAACAUUUCGAUUUGCCGUUUUUGGCCAAAUCCUUUUCGUAAUUAUAAUAGACCGGAUUAUUAUAAUUUUUAUUUUUUAUAACGGAAAUAAUAUAAAACCAAUAAUAAUUUUCGGAAACGCGUUUUGCAACGCGUUUUGCCGCGUUAAAACCGACGUGAAUAAAUUAAUAACCGAUUUGGUUAAUUUCGCGCCGAUUUAAUUAAAAAUAAAAUUCAAUUUUACAAUUUAACGUUUAAAUUUAAAAACGGCCUCCCGUUAUUUUUUUUUUCGCGAACGGUAACGCGGCGGUUUUUUCGUUUUUUCCAUUUAUUGCGUUAACGGGUCGAUAUUCCCGUAAAAACAUUUGCAAAAAAUUUUUUUAAAAAGGAAUUAAUACAAAUUUAAUUUAAAAUUAAAAAAUUAAUUUAUUUUAUAAUAUUCGUCCAAAAAAUCCCAAUUUUUAGGGGUUUUUUUUUUCGGUUAAAAAUUUUCAAUUUGGCCUAAUUUUCGGGGGAAAAUACGGAAUUUCCAAAAUCGUCGUCGCCAUUAUAUUAAAACGAACCAUUUUAAAUAAAAUCGGUUAUAAUUUUUAAUAUUUGCGGCGAAAAAAUUUAAAAAACGGUGCGAUAUUAGACGUUAAAACCAAAAUUAUUUAAACGAAUUAAAUUAAAACGAAUUUAAUUGCGAUAUUAAUUUGCGCAUUGCAAAUACCAAAAUUACGGUGCGAUUGGAAAAAUCGCGCCGCGAUAAUACCAAAUCGCCCGAAAUAUUAAAAAAAAAAAAAAUUUACAAAACGAAAAUUAUAUCGGCAAUAAUUAAAAAACGUAACCAAACGGUUGCAAAUUUUUAAAAUUAUAUUUUUUUACGUUUUUUAAACCCAUUUUUUUUUAUUAAUUUAAUUUUAUUUUAUUUUCAAUUUAUUUUAUUUCCGGCGGUGGUCCGAACGGUCGGAUUCGGUAUUUAUAAACCGGAUCGGGGAUAUAUUGCGUAUUAAACCACCGCAAUUAAUUAUAAAAACGUACAUUUUAAUUUUAAACAAAAUAAUUAAUUAUAUUAAAUUUAAAUUGGGUUAAAUGCAAUUAAAUUAUUAAUAACGGUUUUGGUUCCGCGUUUUGUUAAAUACCUAACAUUUAUUUAUUUAA
This 1463-nucleotide small RNA is filed under the name Pyricularia oryzae. RNAcentral describes it as "Magnaporthe oryzae sRNA M_BR32_EuGene_00080801". Lineage: Eukaryota; Fungi; Ascomycota; Sordariomycetes; Magnaporthales; Pyriculariaceae. The record is from RNAcentral.